This is an RNA transcript of Etheostoma spectabile (orangethroat darter), 4711 nucleotides long. It is a transcript of the gene named mitochondrial import inner membrane translocase subunit tim16, with no coding region annotated. The record is from RefSeq and is a predicted model, not a curated record. The transcript is spliced from 29 exons. NCBI's taxonomy places the organism in Eukaryota, Metazoa, Chordata, Actinopteri, Perciformes, Percidae.
CCCAAGCGGACAGCUCUGUAGAGCAAUGCGAGCGUACACCGCGCGGCCAACCUGAACUGUCAGCUGUAGCAGGAGUCCUCUGCCGUGUACCAACCAGCUCGACAGAGACACCCGGAAGGCACGAAAGUCAAUUUCAGAGAGCAGCAUGAAUCGCUUUAAGACCUCCAAAUUCAAAAACACCACUCCGAAAAUUGCCAAGAAAGAUGGAUGGAUCAACAACGUCCGAGCUGGUUCUUUCUCCUGCCAGGGGAACCACAUCAAAGCGAGCGCCAAGCUGGUGGCCUUUAAUACCGAGCAGGCUGGUGGAGGUAUGUUGGGGUUGUCCUCAGUCAAACCUGGAUCAGAUGGCGGAUGGACGGUCACUCAGAUUUCUUGCCAUUCUGAUCUGGUGACUGAUAUGGACUUUUCUCCUUUUGAUGAAUGUCUCCUGGCAACAUGCUCUGGAGAUGAAACGGUGAAGCUUUGGCGUUUGUGUGAUCCAGAGUUGCAGCAGCCCAGCGCUCCAGAGCUGACCCUUUGUCCAGGUCAGGGCAGGCUGGAGCUGGUGCUUUUCCACCCCACCUCCUCUGGCCUGCUGGCUGUCGGUAACGCCAAGUCCCCCCUGAUAUGGGACACCAGCCGCCAGGAUACACCCCUAGCAGUUCUGGAGCAGCAUGGUGACCAGCUGCAGAGUAUGUGCUGGAAACAGGACGGUUCCCUACUGGCUUCCUCUUGCAAGGACAAGAUGCUGCGAGUGUUUGACCCCAGAGCCCAGCUGACACCUGUUCAGAGUGCAAAGAGCCUUCAGAACAACAAGGAUUCUCGCAUCCUGUGGGCCAAAGACGACCUUUUACUCACCACCGGCUUUGAUAUGAUGCGUAGUCGAGAGGUGAGGCUUUGGGACAGCAGGAAGCUGAGCUCUUCUGUCAGCUCGGCGUCACUCGGCACCUCCAGCGGAAUGGUGAUCCCUCUGUUUGACGAUGACACUGGACUGCUCAUACUGGCUGGCAUGGGCGACACUGUGGUUGAUUGUUUUGAAGUGUCUGCCUCGGAGCCUUUCCUCUCACAAGUCAGCCACUGUCUGACUGACACCUCAACACGAGGAGUUGCCAUGGUACCGAAGGUGGCGUUGGAUGUUAUGUCCUGCGAAGUGAUGCGUGUCCUUCAGCUGACGGACAGCUGCAUUGUGCCAAUCAGCUAUCAAGUCCCUCGCAAGCAUUCAGGUCAGGAGUUUCAUGAUGAUAUUUACCCAAACACAGUGGGCACAACUCCAGCCAUGUCUGCUGAGGAGUGGUGGAAGGGAGGGAACAAGCAGGUGGAGAAAGUCAGCCUCCACCCAGACAAACAGCCCAAACAGAAGGCUCCACCAGCAAAACAGAUGCCUGCAAAGAAGGAGCUGGCCAGUGGGGGGAGCAAGGAGGAUCCGACACGUGGCUGCUCCACCUCCAGUAGUCCACUGAGCAGUCCCAGCAGCAGCGCAGUCCCGUCCCGCUCUCCCUCCUCCACCUCCGGUCUCUCCUCGGGCUUCCUCCACAGCCCCAGUCCCAGCCAGAGCGCCAAGGCCAUCCAGAGCAUGAUGGGGCCGACUUCCAAGUUCCGUCAUAUCCAGGGUGCAGUAAUGCACCGGGAUACACACAUCACCAACUUGCGUGGCCUCAACCUGACUACACCGGGUGAAUGUGACGGCUUCUGUGUCAACCGCCAACGCGUGGCAGUGCCCCUCGCCAUAUCCGGGGGCCAGAUCGGCAUCUUUGAGCGUUCCCAGCCUGGCAGGCUACCUGAAACAGCCCUGUCCACCAUCCAAAACUCUGUCAAUGUGGUUGACUUAUCUUGGGACCCCUUUGACACACACCGGCUUGCUGUUGCUGGUGAUGAUGCAAAGAUCCGGGUGUGGCAGGUACCGGAGGGGGGGCUGAAAGAGACCCUGACUGAGCCUGAGGUCAUCUUGCAAGGCCAUACAGAGAAGAUUUACUCCAUAAAGUUCCACCCUCUGGCCAGCGGACUCCUGGUGUCUUCAUCCUACGAUCUCACAGUCAGACUGUGGAACCUGGAGAGCGGAGAACAGGUCAAACUUCUCAGUGGACACCAGGAACAGGUCUUUGGCAUGGCAUGGAGCCCAGAUGGCAAGCUCCUGGCCACAGUGUGUAAAGAUGGGAAAGUUCGUAUCUAUGACCCCCGCAAGUCCACUGCACCGGUGCAGGAGGGCCCAGGUCCUGAGGGCCAGAGGGGAGCUCGUGUGGUGUGGGUGUGUGAGGGCAAGUACCUGUUGGUGUCAGGAUUUGACAGUCGCAGUGAGAGAGUACUCUACCUGUACUCUGCUGACUCCCUGUCCUCUGGAGCCGUAGCCAGCACCUCUAUAGACAUCUCCCCCUCUACGCUCAUCCCUUUCUACGACCCCGACACCAGUGUGGUCAUCCUCACUGCAAAAGGUGAUACCAGAGUGCACAUUUAUGAGAUGUUUCCUGAAGAGCCAUACUUUAUUGAGUGCAGCAGUUUUAACUCUCCUGAGCCACACAAGGGCUUGGCCUUUCUGCCCAAGACCGAGUGCAAUGUGCGUGAUGUGGAAAUAGCUGUUGGACUGUUGCUCACCAAGACAACCAUUGAGCCAGUGGCCUUCAGAGUGCCACGAGUCAAGAAAGAGUUUUUCCAGGACGAUGUGUACACAGACACCGCCGUCUGUUGGGAACCGGCACUGACUGCCUCUGCCUGGCUGUCAGGCUCCAACGGCCAACACAAAAAGAUCAGCCUAAAGCCUAAAGACAUGAUCCCAGUGAGUGAGGCCCCUAAAGAGGCUCCAGUUAGAAAAUACCUGCCGUCCUCUGUUUACCUGGAAGAGAAGACUGAUGAACAGAAGAAAGAGGAGCUUCUCAGUGCCAUGGUGGCUAAGUUGGGGAACAUGGACGAUCCGCUGCCACAAGCGUCCUUUGAGGGUGUGGACGAGGAUGAGUGGGAUGACUAAAGGGGACGCCAUCUUGCCUUUGGUUCAAUCAUGGUGCCAACAGCAAAGAGGAGAGAACAGAUCUACUGUCAAGUUACGUUGCCAUUUGUGUGUGUUGGUGCCACCCACAUGUCCUCUGAGCUUAAUCAGCUCACAUCUCAGCACAAAGAGUAUUGUACAAUGUGAAAAUAUAAACAAAAUGGGGAAAAAAAUCAUCACAAUCCAACUGCAUGAAAUUUGAUAUGAAAGUCAUUUUCAGCAGCAAUUCUUAAAUAUUUCAGAAAUCCUCUGGGAUAACUCUGACACAGUAAUUUCUUAUGUUAAAGUCAUAACAACAUUAUGUCACACUAUUCAGGAUACAUAACAGUAAAUUUCAGAAAAAAAGUCCAUUUAAAUCAUACAUCAGGAACCUCAAACAUUUCUGGGACAUCACCCUUCUAAAUCAGUGCAAGGUGAAUUAAACAGCAGGUAAUCAUAGCAAUAAUACUUCUGCUUUAUGUUACAUGAUCAGUUAUAACAGAUCUAACACAGCAUUUUUAGUGGAUGGGUAAUUUAGCGCAGCUUUUAUUUUUGUCUUUGGUAUUUGACCAUGGUUUGAGCAUAAUAAAACGCUCUUAGGUGUCCUGUCCAUGUGUCCUUAAAAAAAAAAAAAUAAUUAUAAUAAUAAUGGCCUCCUCUUAUGCCCUGUUUGUUAUUUUCUGAUAUCAAGAUACCAGGGUGUGUACCAUUGCGUACAACAAUUUUUUUCUGUGUGUGCACUUUUACCUCAGCUGUGGACCACCGCUUGCUUUUUCUACUGGCCAGUCAUAUGAUCACGCUCAGCCACAAUUUUUUGUUGGAUAGAUGUAAUGUUGUUAAUUAUCUCAUUGAAAAAGUGAACAUUGUGAAUCUGAAAAAAAAACAAAAAAAACUUGUCUUCCUGUUUGAUCAGGUAAAACACACACAUGAUCACUGUAACAUGUUCGAGCCUUCAGCAGCAAAAAACACACUGUGGAUACAACAGGGUCACCAGUGUUCAUGUUUAACCAUGAACUGGAAUUUCUUAUGACAACAACAUUAAAUUCACUUUGUCUUUGUUAGUCAAUGAUAGAAUAAAAGGCCAUUUUAACAAUAUUGCGUUACUGUAUUUGUACAAGUUAAAUUUGAUUGAAUGUUUUUCUAUCUGAUAGUCUUAUAAGUAGGGGUUGAAGCUCAAUUAAAUUGGGAUGUUGUGUAUGUAAAGCCAAACAACCUCCCAAUUGGAGUUUUUAGAGGGGUCUUUGUAUACUCUUCUUUCCUUUCUUUUCUAUUUUGCAGGGCAACUUUUAAUUGUGAUCUUUGUAGGUUUUCAGACUGUUUGGAGAUGUUGCUCAGAUAAUUUUCUUAUCUAAUGUCUACUAGUAGUAAGUAGUCAUGGUGUUAAUAAGACAAUAACAGUACAGUAUUAAUAUCUUACAGUGCAGCCAAAACAUGUAUUAUGUAAUUUACAAGCAGGGCUACAGCAAUAUUGUCAAUAAUCCAGGCUUGAACCCACCAUUUGUUAACAACCUCUGAUGGACUGAAAGGAACCAGCUAUUCAGCCGUGCAUGGUUGUGCACGUCAUGUUGUACAGGUAAACUGCAGGUGUCAUUGGUGUUGGUGUGAUGUACGCUGUAUAUGUUGGUGAUUCUCGAAUGCCAUAACUACUAAUAGUUGUAAUGAAUUAAGUUGCCUUCUAUACAGUGAGUAAAGCAUUGUUGUUUUUUGUUUGUCGUACUUGAGAAAUAGUUUAAUUCUUUUUCAAUAUUGUCUUGCAAUAAACCUUUUUGAACCCAU